CACACUAUCAUUAACUGAAUCCAUAGGUUAAUGAGGCGAACCGGGGGAACUGAAACAUCUAAGUACCCCGAGGAAAAGAAAUCAACCGAGAUUCCCCCAGUAGCGGCGAGCGAACGGGGAGCAGCCCAGAGCCUGAAUCAGUGUGUGUGUUAGUGGAAGCGUCUGGAAAGGCGCGCGAUACAGGGUGACAGCCCCGUACACAAAAAUGCACAUGCUGUGAGCUCGAUGAGUAGGGCGGGACACGUGGUAUCCUGUCUGAAUAUGGGGGGACCAUCCUCCAAGGCUAAAUACUCCUGACUGACCGAUAGUGAACCAGUACCGUGAGGGAAAGGCGAAAAGAACCCCGGCGAGGGGAGUGAAAAAGAACCUGAAACCGUGUACGUACAAGCAGUGGGAGCACGCUUAGGCGUGUGACUGCGUACCUUUUGUAUAAUGGGUCAGCGACUUAUAUUCUGUAGCAAGGUUAACCGAAUAGGGGAGCCGAAGGGAAACCGAGUCUUAACUGGGCGUUAAGUUGCAGGGUAUAGACCCGAAACCCGGUGAUCUAGCCAUGGGCAGGUUGAAGGUUGGGUAACACUAACUGGAGGACCGAACCGACUAAUGUUGAAAAAUUAGCGGAUGACUUGUGGCUGGGGGUGAAAGGCCAAUCAAACCGGGAGAUAGCUGGUUCUCCCCGAAAGCUAUUUAGGUAGCGCCUCGUGAAUUCAUCUCCGGGGGUAGAGCACUGUUUCGGCAAGGGGGUCAUCCCGACUUACCAACCCGAUGCAAACUGCGAAUACCGGAGAAUGUUAUCACGGGAGACACACGGCGGGUGCUAACGUCCGUCGUGAAGAGGGAAACAACCCAGACCGCCAGCUAAGGUCCCAAAGUCAUGGUUAAGUGGGAAACGAUGUGGGAAGGCCCAGACAGCCAGGAUGUUGGCUUAGAAGCAGCCAUCAUUUAAAGAAAGCGUAAUAGCUCACUGGUCGAGUCGGCCUGCGCGGAAGAUGUAACGGGGCUAAACCAUGCACCGAAGCUGCGGCAGCGACGCUGAUGCGUUGUUGGGUAGGGGAGCGUUCUGUAAGCCUGCGAAGGUGUGCUGUGAGGCAUGCUGGAGGUAUCAGAAGUGCGAAUGCUGACAUAAGUAACGAUAAAGCGGGUGAAAAGCCCGCUCGCCGGAAGACCAAGGGUUCCUGUCCAACGUUAAUCGGGGCAGGGUGAGUCGACCCCUAAGGCGAGGCCGAAAGGCGUAGUCGAUGGGAAACAGGUUAAUAUUCCUGUACUUGGUGUUACUGCGAAGGGGGGACGGAGAAGGCUAUGUUGGCCGGGCGACGGUUGUCCCGGUUUAAGCGUGUAGGCUGGUUUUCCAGGCAAAUCCGGAAAAUCAAGGCUGAGGCGUGAUGACGAGGCACUACGGUGCUGAAGCAACAAAUGCCCUGCUUCCAGGAAAAGCCUCUAAGCAUCAGGUAACAUCAAAUCGUACCCCAAACCGACACAGGUGGUCAGGUAGAGAAUACCAAGGCGCUUGAGAGAACUCGGGUGAAGGAACUAGGCAAAAUGGUGCCGUAACUUCGGGAGAAGGCACGCUGAUAUGUAGGUGAAGUCCCUCGCGGAUGGAGCUGAAAUCAGUCGAAGAUACCAGCUGGCUGCAACUGUUUAUUAAAAACACAGCACUGUGCAAACACGAAAGUGGACGUAUACGGUGUGACGCCUGCCCGGUGCCGGAAGGUUAAUUGAUGGGGUCAGCGCAAGCGAAGCUCUUGAUCGAAGCCCCGGUAAACGGCGGCCGUAACUAUAACGGUCCUAAGGUAGCGAAAUUCCUUGUCGGGUAAGUUCCGACCUGCACGAAUGGCGUAAUGAUGGCCAGGCUGUCUCCACCCGAGACUCAGUGAAAUUGAACUCGCUGUGAAGAUGCAGUGUACCCGCGGCAAGACGGAAAGACCCCGUGAACCUUUACUAUAGCUUGACACUGAACAUUGAGCCUUGAUGUGUAGGAUAGGUGGGAGGCUUUGAAGUGUGGACGCCAGUCUGCAUGGAGCCGACCUUGAAAUACCACCCUUUAAUGUUUGAUGUUCUAACGUGGACCCGUAAUCCGGGUUGCGGACAGUGUCUGGUGGGUAGUUUGACUGGGGCGGUCUCCUCCUAAAGAGUAACGGAGGAGCACGAAGGUUGGCUAAUCCUGGUCGGACAUCAGGAGGUUAGUGCAAUGGCAUAAGCCAGCUUGACUGCGAGCGUGACGGCGCGAGCAGGUGCGAAAGCAGGUCAUAGUGAUCCGGUGGUUCUGAAUGGAAGGGCCAUCGCUCAACGGAUAAAAGGUACUCCGGGGAUAACAGGCUGAUACCGCCCAAGAGUUCAUAUCGACGGCGGUGUUUGGCACCUCGAUGUCGGCUCAUCACAUCCUGGGGCUGAAGUAGGUCCCAAGGGUAUGGCUGUUCGCCAUUUAAAGUGGUACGCGAGCUGGGUUUAGAACGUCGUGAGACAGUUCGGUCCCUAUCUGCCGUGGGCGCUGGAGAAUUGAGGGGGGCUGCUCCUAGUACGAGAGGACCGGAGUGGACGCAUCACUGGUGUUCGGGUUGUCAUGCCAAUGGCACUGCCCGGUAGCUAAAUGCGGAAGAGAUAAGUGCUGAAAGCAUCUAAGCACGAAACUUGCCCCGAGAUGAGUUCUCCCUGACUCCUUGAGAGUCCUGAAGGAACGUUGAAGACGACGACGUUGAUAGGCCGGGUGUGUAAGCGCAGCGAUGCGUUGAGCUAACCGGUACUAAUGAACCGUGAGGCUUAACCUUACAACGCCGAAG
RNAcentral lists this ribosomal RNA (2774 nucleotides) under Escherichia coli. Its description in RNAcentral is "partial 23S ribosomal RNA". It matches the Rfam family "Bacterial large subunit ribosomal RNA". The record is from RNAcentral. Lineage: Bacteria; Pseudomonadati; Pseudomonadota; Gammaproteobacteria; Enterobacterales; Enterobacteriaceae.